AAGUUAUUUUCUAAUUUUUCCUUAUGGUCAAAAUUGAAUGACCAUAAAUUCUUAAGCAUUAGGUGAUCAAAAGAUCGAAACUUUAUUUUGACGUGAGAAGCACUAUUGCCUCUUUCCCUGGUUGCUUAAAGCUGAAUUGACCCAAUGGCCAAUGAGAUUCAGACUUGAUCGAGAGAAAACCACCCCAUUGUCGGUUCUUGAACACUUGGCAGUUUGAUGUCAUUUUCCUUUGGGCUUUUGACAUUUUCAGAAUCUUCCUUGGUUGUAACUUGUACACAUCGCAACCCCUCACUGACUUGUCGGGCAUCGCUGCACGCUUUUGUUUUCUACUUGACAAUCAAUCAAUUUUCUCAUAGAUAACAUUAUGAAUUAUCGAGAAAAAGACAGGAGACAAUGCACAACUAAUGGCAGCCUACAUCCCCACUACUUACCUGAAUAAAAAAAGAAUACGGCACCAUUCUCUUUUUGGAGAACUUGCAUGGCACGAGUUCAUGACAACUGUAGCGCCCAGUGUUAUUGGUGCAAUGCCUUGUAGAAGGAAAUUUACACAGAACAUUACAUUAUUGAUACAAAACGACAGUGCAACAACAAUAUACUCAUGUCAUGAAAGUCUCUGUUACCUAAAAUGACAGCUGGUCAAAUUAAUUCGUUAUGGAGAUGAUUCCAUCCACAUCCCGUGCCUCUUCAUUUCCCACUGGAUGGAUUGCGUACAUUUAAGUGAACGACUUUAAAUUCCCCUACAAUUUUCCCAUCCCUGCCCACACAAGUUACUACCAACCUUAUCGUUGACAAACCAGUCCCAAGAUACAAAUAUGCACAAAACAAAAAGUGAAAGAUGUUGAAAACAUUGGUAUUGUUAUGAAUGCCCACACACACAUUGUCAAUGCCCUUGCAAGUUGAAAUAGACUUUGGAAACAAAAUGGUUGUUUUUCAAAACAUGCGAUGUAAAUUUCAAACUAUAAGAACUUGUUUGUAUGGAGCCGCUCUAUAAAUAGAGCGCUCCGACUGCAAUUAAAGGAGGUAGAGAGAAUCACGGU
Molecule: long non-coding RNA, 1037 nt
Filed under: Malus domestica (apple)
Lineage: Eukaryota; Viridiplantae; Streptophyta; Magnoliopsida; Rosales; Rosaceae
Description: long non-coding RNA (MDOM_LNC011884)
Source: RNAcentral